RNAcentral lists this long non-coding RNA (236 nucleotides) under Elaeis guineensis (African oil palm). RNAcentral describes it as "long non-coding RNA (EGUI_LNC022935)". Lineage: Eukaryota; Viridiplantae; Streptophyta; Magnoliopsida; Arecales; Arecaceae. The record is from RNAcentral.
CGGGGAUGCCGACCCCCUCUACUUCUACCCCAAAGGUCUGGAACCUCUAGUUUUGUAUUUUUUUUUGUGGUGAUUGUUCCUUCGUUCUCUUGUACUUGAAGUUUAUUUGAUCAAUGAAGCCGGAUUUGUCUUUACGGAGGAUCCCCCCCUCUCUUUUUUUUUGUAUCCUUUUCCUUCUUUUUAUCUUCUGGCAUUAAUUUGAGUCAUGGUGCUCUUGUCCUCCAACGAUAGUGUCC